This 195-nucleotide small nuclear RNA is filed under the name Sarcoptes scabiei. RNAcentral's name for it is "U2 spliceosomal RNA". It matches the Rfam family "U2 spliceosomal RNA". From Rfam's summary of the family: U2 is a small nuclear RNA (snRNA) component of the spliceosome (involved in pre-mRNA splicing). Complementary binding between U2 snRNA (in an area lying towards the 5' end but 3' to hairpin I) and the branchpoint sequence (BPS) of the intron results the bulging out of an unpaired adenosine, on the BPS, which initiates a nucleophilic attack at the intronic 5' splice site, thus starting the first of two transesterification reactions that mediate splicing. Lineage: Eukaryota; Metazoa; Arthropoda; Arachnida; Sarcoptiformes; Sarcoptidae. The record is from Rfam by way of RNAcentral.
AUCGCUUCUCGGCCCUUGUGGCUAAGAUCAAAAGUGUAGUAUCUGUUCUUAUCAGCUUAAUAUCUGAUACGACUCUCAUUGAGAGUCAAGAUAUUAAACCAAUUUUUGCUAUGCGGUGAACAGUUUGAGCUGUGCUCAGCGUUUGCCACGGGUUGGCCUGGUCUUGCACUCACCUCCAGGGUCGGCCCAAUUUUU